Molecule: non-coding RNA, 906 nt
Organism: Oryctolagus cuniculus (rabbit)
Lineage: Eukaryota; Metazoa; Chordata; Mammalia; Lagomorpha; Leporidae
Source: RefSeq, a predicted model, not a curated record
AGCCGCGGGGAAGAGGAUUUCCGAUGCGCCUUCCCCAACCACAGUUCAUUCGCUGAUUCGCCCCUGGACUCCAGGCACGGCUCUGCGUGUGGCCCACGUGGAUGGGGUGAGCCACACCUGCCUCCGCUACCUGAUUGGCUGGGAGGAGGACGCGCGCUUAGCCAGCCACGCAGGAUCCUCUUGCAGGGAGAGCUUGCUGCCAGCUUCACAGAGACCUGAGCCCAGAAUGGUGGCAGCACUGAGCGCCCCCUCCCUUUCCAUGACAACAAGGACAGACAGAGCCUGAACUGGGGGAAGCAGCCACUUCUAACAUCAGGAGUCCCCUACCCACUGGCCGGGUCUCAGACAAGCAUCUUCUUGGGUAUCUGGCUGUAGCUCCAUGUUUAGGCCAUACCAUCCUGUGAAUUCUACCCUCCAGCCAUGCAGAAUUAAGCCCUAAGGAUACCUCAAGUUUCCACAGGCCCAGCUCCUUCUCUCAUAGCACAAUCCUCCUCUUCUUCACCAAAGUAAGAUCAUUCUCGUCCUGACACUCGUAGCCAAGGCAUCUGUCUGCCGCUUUCUCCAGGAAAUGAAAUGAAGCGACUGCCUCAUGAGCUCCCAGGCACAGCAGCCCAUUGGAGUGGCUAUCCUGAUACCCAUUCUACAGAUACGGAUCCCCAAGACUCAGAAACUUUGACCGGGAUGCCUCCAAAUGCUCUCGUGCUCAUACAGCCUAGGACAGCUGACCUUCCUGCAGCCACGCCACUCCGAAUCCUCCUCCGCUGUACCCUGCAAGCUGAGCCAAGCCCCUUGCAUGGCCAGCCAUGUCCUGCACGCUGCCUAAAGCCCCCUUACCUUCUCCUUGUGUCAGGAGGGUGGCGAGGAGCAAUGCCAGGAGUGCCUGCCAGAGCCACGGCUGCAUGGUGA